UCCUACGGGAGGCAGCAGUAGGGAAUCUUCCGCAAUGGGCGAAAGCCUGACGGAGCGACGCCGCGUGAGCGAAGAAGGCCUUCGGGUCGUAAAGCUCUGUUGUGAGGGACGAAGAAGUGCCGUUCGAAGAGGGCGGUGCGGUGACGGUACCUCACGAGAAAGCCCCGGCUAACUACGUGCCAGCAGCCGCGGUAAUAA
RNAcentral lists this ribosomal RNA (198 nucleotides) under uncultured Geobacillus sp. RNAcentral's name for it is "partial 16S ribosomal RNA". It matches the Rfam family "Bacterial small subunit ribosomal RNA", at positions 337 to 526 of the family's 1533-position model. The record is from RNAcentral. Lineage: Bacteria; Bacillati; Bacillota; Bacilli; Caryophanales; Anoxybacillaceae.